ACUAAGUUGGCAGAAUAUUGCUAUUGAUUUAAGCUCAUUCCAUGGGUUUAAACCCACCUAGU
RNAcentral lists this transfer RNA (62 nucleotides) under Levensteiniella iris. Its description in RNAcentral is "tRNA-Leu". The record is from RNAcentral. Lineage: Eukaryota; Metazoa; Annelida; Polychaeta; Phyllodocida; Polynoidae.